GACGAACGCUGGCGGCGCGCCUAACACAUGCAAGUCGAACGGAGCUGAGAGAAGCUUGCUUUUCUUAGCUUAGUGGCGAACGGGUGAGUAACGCGUGAGUAACCUGCCCUGGAGUGGGGGACAACAGUUGGAAACGACUGCUAAUACCGCAUAAGCCCACGAUCCGGCAUCGGAUUGAGGGAAAAGGAUUUAUUCGCUUCAGGAUGGACUCGCGUCCAAUUAGCUAGUUGGUGAGGUAACGGCCCACCAAGGCGACGAUUGGUAGCCGGACUGAGAGGUUGAACGGCCACAUUGGGACUGGGGCACGGCCCAGACUCCUACGGGAGGCAGCAGUGGGGGAUAUUGCACAAUGGGGGAAACCCUGAUGCAGCGACGCCGCGUGGAGGAAGAAGGUUUUCGGAUUGUAAACUCCUGUCGUUAGGGACGAUAAUGACGGUACCUAACAAGAAAGCACCGGCUAACUACGUG
Molecule: ribosomal RNA, 468 nt
Filed under: uncultured bacterium
Lineage: Bacteria
Description: partial 16S ribosomal RNA
Rfam family: Bacterial small subunit ribosomal RNA
Source: RNAcentral